This is a long non-coding RNA of Aptenodytes forsteri (emperor penguin), 430 nucleotides long. RefSeq lists it as uncharacterized. The record is from RefSeq and is a predicted model, not a curated record. NCBI's taxonomy places the organism in Eukaryota, Metazoa, Chordata, Aves, Sphenisciformes, Spheniscidae. The transcript has 2 exons.
AGUUUCCCAGCAACACACCCUUGCAUGAGGAAGGACAGGAGUACCAAGACCAACAUACCAGUGCAGUAGAAUGGUCUCUGCAGCUUAAUGUUGGUCAAUAGUAGCACCAUGCCCCUGUAACUGUGCACCUAGAUGCUUGGGUUUUUUUUUUCCUGAGGUUUAGUGAAGAGCUGUUAAGGCCUAGGGUGGGGCAUUACAGCACUGCAGAAGCAUACGGAGCGUGUUGUCAGCCAUUAGCUCUGUGUGAAGUGGGACUGUGAGGUAUGGCGUUGCUUCUGUGUGUGCCUGGCAGCCAUGCCAAUAAGGGUAAGCAAAUAGUGUUUCUGUUCAGGUUGGCUGUGGAGUGAAAUAGGAACAGAUUCCAUUUUUCACCUUGGACUUCUGUACACUUUCAAAGUGCUAUCCUCUUCAAUAAAUGACUUCUCAACCA